UACGUAGGCAGCAAGCGUUGUUCGGAGUUACUGGGCGUAAAGGGUGUGUAGGCGGUUUUUUAAGUUUGGUGUGAAAUCUCCCGGCUCAACCGGGGGGGGGCGCCGAAUACUGAAUGACUUCGAGUGCGGGAGAGGAAAGUGGAAUUCCUGGUGUAGCGGUGAAAUGCGUAGAUAUCAGGAGGAACACCGGUGGUGUAGACGGCUUUCUGGACCGUAACUGACGCUGAGACACGAAAGCGUGGGUAGCAAACAGG
This 254-nucleotide ribosomal RNA is filed under the name uncultured bacterium. RNAcentral describes it as "partial 16S ribosomal RNA". It matches the Rfam family "Bacterial small subunit ribosomal RNA", at positions 524 to 776 of the family's 1533-position model. The record is from RNAcentral.